GGAACCAAUGGUCCACUGUGCAUGCCUGUUGUUUCCAUCCCACCCUAAAACCACCGGCUUCUUGCUUCUCGCUGCAUAUAUGCAGCUCUCUCUCUCUCUCUCUUUUCGUGUUCAUUCAUCUACUAGUUUCUAUCGUCAAGGAUGAAGCUCGGCAACACGGCAUGCAUGGCCGUCACUUUAGGGGCUGCACUCGAGCUGAAAGACCAAGUCGCCAAACCCUACUCGUCGACCAUCAAGAGGAACCUGUCGGCGAUUGGGUCGUCUGCAGCCAAAGUGAUCCGGCAGAGCGAAUUCAGGCGGCGCGAGGAGGAUUCCUCAUCUAAAGAGGAGUCAUUGAGGUUGGUCAUGUAUUUGAGCUGCUGGGGGCCGAACUGAUAUGAAUGCUUCGUCAACGUUUGAUCUCUGGAUGCUUUCCUUGCAACACAGUCACACACACCCCGCCACGGAGGGUAUGAGCACAAGAUCACAGAGAAGCAGCACAGCAGCGUGACGAAGCUUCAAAGACUCAGUAAUAAGGAAAGCUACUGUCGCGUAUGUACCUGUGUCGUCACCAAUCACUCGACUCUUACACUCCCGCCCAGAAUUGUGCGGCCCCCACCAGCCAAGCAUGGGUUCCAGGUGCGGGUUGGACGAUAGACGGUGGGAUUUGAUGUGGAUAAGAUGAGCAAAUUGGACACGUGAUCUGAACACGUGGCUCCCAUCUGGGAAUAUAUCCAAAUACCGGAAACCACCAUAGCCCAUGGUUUUUCAGAAAACCGCCAAAGAUCCCGUCUAUAAAUGGAAUCCAUCUUCAGGCCCUUCACUUCUUCCGGCCGUAGCUCACCUUCCUUCAAUUCAUCUUUGGAGCUCGGCCACAGAAAGUUGGCAGCAGCACAGACGUAAAGGGCGACAAUCGAGGCCCAAAGUUGUGGUAGAAGGGAUGAGGUAUCUGAACAGUGUAUGGAUGGCAGCGAGCGUGGCGGCGGUGCAGGGUCAAGCCGACCAGGGCAUCAAGUCCAGCGGCCACCUCGCCACCGUCGCCACCGCAGCUGUCGCCGCCGCUGCCGCCGCCGCGGGGCUCGGGGUGGUUCGCGAUCUUGGCGGAGGGGGCAACGAGGAGCGGCGGAAGCUGGCGGAAGACUCGUUCCGGAAGGCCAUGUACCUCAGCUGCUGGGGACCCAACUAGCGGAAGAACGCCACUCCCCGAUCGACGUACGCCGGCGGUACUGAUGCGAGGGGAGUGAGAGCGUGAGACUGUAAAUGAUGUAACUAGACCUGUAAUCGUUGUAUAUUCGUAUAUGUGAUGAUGAGAGAGAGAGAGAAAGAAUCAAUGAGGAAGCGAAGGCUUGCGCAGUGA
Molecule: long non-coding RNA, 1336 nt
Organism: Musa acuminata AAA Group (dessert banana)
Lineage: Eukaryota; Viridiplantae; Streptophyta; Magnoliopsida; Zingiberales; Musaceae
Exons: 2
Source: RefSeq, a predicted model, not a curated record